CUUGAAUCCUCAGAGUCUGUGAGGAUUCUUCCAGCCUAAAGAAAAAAGAGAACUGAAGAUAUUUCUGUUUUCUACCUGUCUUAUCUUGACUUGCUCACUUUAGGAAUUAUACUAUCGGUGAUGCUUUCAACAACCCCAGCAGUGCUGUUGAUGUCAUCGGUGUCUGUAGUUUGCCAUGAAGUAAAAACCAUUGUAAUGAACUGAGGCCAAAUCAGCUUGACUCUGGACUCGUGGAUGUAUUCAUAAACUGUGACUGUCCCACUGGGUGGAAAGGAGAAUUCUGCACAGAGACCAUUUCCACCUGUGACCCUGAACAUGACCCUCCCACCACUGUAGAAAGGAGCAACUUGUGUUUCAUUGCCUCAUGGAUACACCUGUUAUUGUCCUCUGGAAACCACUGGAAUCUGUGAACAAGACAGCUUGUUCCCAGUUGGCAACAUAACCAGUACCAUCGUUGAGGCCUCAUAAUUUCUACUCAGUUAUGGGCACCUAGGAUGUAGAAGAAAUACCUGGGAUUCAAUUCACCUUCAUUGGACUUAUAAACUGGUAUAAAAAUCAUCAAUGAAUUCACUACCAGCAACCUUAAACUCACAAAUGUCUAACUAAUAAGUCCUCUUUUCCCUUCUUCCUUUCUACUUCCCCAUUCCAAGAAACCUUAAGUCUUAGAAGGAAAAUUAAUUUGACUGUGCAUGGAACCCCCUACUUACAGCUUUCACACCUACCGGGUUUUAUGACCAUCUUUCUUGUAAAUAAGCCCCACCACCAACGAGAAUCAAAACUCAUGUUUAUAAU
RNAcentral lists this long non-coding RNA (792 nucleotides) under Ursus maritimus (polar bear). RNAcentral describes it as "lncRNA (ENSUMAG00000010880.1)". The record is from RNAcentral. Lineage: Eukaryota; Metazoa; Chordata; Mammalia; Carnivora; Ursidae.